Molecule: long non-coding RNA, 1443 nt
Organism: Gasterosteus aculeatus aculeatus (three-spined stickleback)
Lineage: Eukaryota; Metazoa; Chordata; Actinopteri; Perciformes; Gasterosteidae
Source: Ensembl
GUAACACUGGCACAAAGGUCCCCUUUUCCUUGCAAGGUAAAGAAGACUUUUCCCCUUUUUUUUCCGUCUGUGUUUAAUGCAGAUGAGGCUUUUCUAUUCACAUGACAUUCAUGAACGCACUCCCACACAGAAGAAAACACACCGUGAAACCUCCCUGACAAAAACAACCCCUCUGACUCAUCACAACAGCUGUUAGCAUCCAAAAAGCCUUACCUUCCUCUAUAAAGAUAUCCACUCAUUUGUCAGCUGAAUGGAAAAAUAUCUAUAAAAGAAUAAAACCCUUUCCAGCUGUUCCAACAGCCGCUCUGCCAGUGUCUCCCCAACCGCCAGGUGAGUCAGUCCGACUGCGUCAAAAGGACCUGAACUCAUCGGUUUAUCUGCCACCCGGCGAGCAGAGCUCCAGCAGACAGCCAGACGGGGGCCAAAACACCACGCAGAGACGAAGCGCCGCGAGGAUUUUCCCGGGCCGCUACUUUUUCGCCGCCUCAGACCCGGAGCAGAGUGACCACAGUCAGGCUUGUUUGGCCGCGCCGCUCCCAGAGGAACGAGCCAAGCACCCGGUCGGUCAUUUGACGUGGCAGAGAGCAGCAGCGGGAGAGAGGAGAAAUGCCGUUCAGAAGACAAACAGUGCAGCCGCAUUGACGUGAUUCAAGCAGACAGGCAGCACAUUGAGGCCGGUGGAGGGAGCUGACCAUCAAAGACCCCGGCCGGCGGUCCCAGAGACUGGAUCAACGUCUAUGGAAAUUCCUCUUCAGUGCUUCUCCAAACAGGAGGGUGUGGCCUGCUGGAGUGUGUAUACACACACACACACACACACACACAGACUGUUGUGCUCAAAAAAUACUUUUUUUAGUAUGAACUUAAACGAACACCUCCGCUGUUCAGAAGUUUAGUCAAUUUAUGUACGAUUAUUAUCGUAAAAAAUCCACCGGGGCACUUAAGUACUUUACUUGAAGAGAUAAACUGUAGAGUUCAUCAAUAUGAAGUCUCACCUGCUGCCAUGUGUGGGUCCCUUUCAAAUCUACUGCUGCUUUUUGCCAUUACUGACAAUUCUGUUUCUGAAUCAGUUUGAAAUAUUAAAAAAAACUAUGAUAAGUUGUGAAACAUGCAGUCAGGCCCUUCAAAUAACUCAAACGGGAUGUUCCUGAACACCUGUAGCAUGGGGGAGGGGCCAAAAUCAUUCCAGACUCAGGCCCUCGUGUAACCUGUAGUCUGCAUAAACUACAUGUGCACUAUGGGCUUGUAAUAAAACAAGGAAUUUUCUCUCCCUCCAUUUCUCUCUUUCUCUAGACUCGUUCACAUACCUGCCUCACAUUCCUCAAUGUGCAGCCGGCGGCGGGAGAGCCGCCCUGCAGGUCUGAGCAGCGGAGACAACAGAGCUUCUGAGGUUGAACCGAGUCGCUCCCCUCUGCGCAGCCGAACGCGCCACGCAGUCCUUCCCUC